GGCUCUGGUGCCCAGCUGCACCCAUGGCCAGGAUGAGUGGCAGCACUGUGCAUGGGAUGCACUGGUCCUGUGACUGAGGUCCUGGCCCUGCCUGCUCCACCUGCCCACAACUCCCUUCCUGCCUGAUUCCCAAGCUCACUUCCAAGCCCUCAGCAUAAUUCUUUGAGCUACUUCCUGGCAUUCCACUCACACCAGCCAGCCUCAGGUCCUUUGCACCUGACGGACCCACAGCACCUAGUCUCUGCUCAGCUACAGGUGUCUCCUUAUCGUUCCCACCAAUGCCUACGCCUUGUGGGAAAUAACUGAAUGCACCCCCCCCCCUUCCAGCACGUCCUUUUACAUUUGUUGACCUUCUCAGGGGCCACUUCAGGCCUCUCUCUCCCCAAAUCCCAACUGCCCUCUCCAAACCCCUCCGUAAUACUUGCCCGCCCCACCUGUUGCCUUAUCCCCACACUGUCUUCAGGGAGACAGUUGUGAGGCCAGGACCACUGACUCCAGCACCCACGUUGCCUCUGUGAGGGUUUCAGACCACAGGCUGGGAUCAGCCGCCACGUUCUCUCUAACCUUCAUCCCACGUCCUGUGCCAUGCUCAUCCGUCGGUCCUGGAUCAACCCUAUUCGCCCUUCAGGUUCCACCUGAAGUUACGCCACCCGGGGAAAGUGAGACUGGACUCCCCAGGAUUUCAGAGGUGUUGCUGCCGAUGACUGGUGGCCAACCCUCUGUGUGGCAGAGCCUCCCAGGAGUGUGGUAUUGGCAGGACCAGCUGGCCUCGGGGAAGCUGAGGAGAGGGGAGCCUCACUCCACGCCCACCAGGGCUGGGCUCAGACUCCACUCCAGACAGCCAGUGCUGCUAGGUCGUUCCCUGCACCCAGCCGGUAUGACACCAGAUCAAGACUCACGUGUGAAAUGCAGAGAUGGAAAAAGAUCCAUCCGCGUUACCAUCAACACUGCAGCCUGGAACCCAUCCCGACACUAUCUCAAGUGGACGGCCAGCCCCGGAUGUGCUCCGACUGUGGUCAGCGUGUCCUUCUGCCGCCGGCCCUGUGACGGAGACACAGGGCUCUGUGGCGUGUCGUCCCCCGCAUGCGAUGACCUGCACAGAUGGCCUCUCCGGGAAGGCCGGGCAGCGUGGUUGGCUGAGCCUCCAGAAGACAGAUUGUCAGGCCGAAGCUUGACAGAGAGAGUGUGGGGUGCUCGCGGAUGCUGUUCCAGAAGGCCAGCUGCUGCCGGGUCCUUCCCUCGCCUCAAGGUGAAGGACAGUCCUGAAAAGGACAAGAUUGGAACAACUCGCCAACAGAACAUGCCACCCAUAUGCAUUACUUGGGUCUCAUUUACUUUCUAAAGGAUAAAUG
This is a long non-coding RNA of Equus caballus (horse), 1352 nucleotides long. RefSeq lists it as uncharacterized. The record is from RefSeq and is a predicted model, not a curated record. Lineage: Eukaryota; Metazoa; Chordata; Mammalia; Perissodactyla; Equidae.